Molecule: microRNA precursor, 92 nt
Filed under: Canis lupus familiaris (dog)
Lineage: Eukaryota; Metazoa; Chordata; Mammalia; Carnivora; Canidae
Also listed under: 1 other name
Description: mir-8799 microRNA precursor family
Rfam family: mir-8799 microRNA precursor family
Source: Rfam by way of RNAcentral
AGGGAGCAGCAGGGUCCUGGGCUGUGUCCCCCGGCCCUGGGCUCCCGGGCCUGCACCGCUGGAAUCGCACUCUUGGGGAUGCGCAGUCCCCU